AACGAACGCUGGCGGCAUGCCUAACACAUGCAAGUCGAACGAGACCUUCGGGUCUAGUGGCGCACGGGUGCGUAACGCGUGGGAAUCUACCCCUGGGUUCGGAAUAACAGUUAGAAAUGACUGCUAGUACCGGAUGAUGACGUAAGUCAAAAGAUUUAUCGCCCAAGGAUGAGCUCGCGUAAGAUUAGCUUGUUGGUGGGGUAAUGGCCUACCAAGGCGACGAUCGUUAGCUGGUCUGAGAGGAUGACCAGCCACACUGGGACUGAGACACGGACCAGACUCAUACGGGAGGCAGCAGUGGGGAAUAUUGGACAAUGGGCGAAAGCCUGAUCCAGCAAUGCCGCGUGAGUGAUGAAGGCCUUAGGGUUGUCAAGCUCUUUUACCAGGGAUGAUAAUGACAGUACCUGGAGAAUAAGCUCCGGCUAACUCCGUGCCAGCCGCCGCGGUAA
Molecule: ribosomal RNA, 449 nt
Filed under: uncultured bacterium
Lineage: Bacteria
Description: partial 16S ribosomal RNA
Rfam family: Bacterial small subunit ribosomal RNA
Source: RNAcentral